RNAcentral lists this ribosomal RNA (492 nucleotides) under uncultured bacterium. RNAcentral's name for it is "partial 16S ribosomal RNA". It matches the Rfam family "Bacterial small subunit ribosomal RNA", at positions 29 to 507 of the family's 1533-position model. The record is from RNAcentral.
AGUGAACGCUGGCGGUAGGCCUAACACAUGCAAGUCGAACGGCAGCACAGUAAGAGCUUGCUCUUACGGGUGGCGAGUGGCGGACGGGUGAGGAAUACAUCGGAAUCUACUUUUUCGUGGGGGAUAACGUAGGGAAACUUACGCUAAUACAGCAUACGACCUACGGGUGAAAGCAGGGGAUCUUCGGACCUUGCGCGAUUGAAUGAGCCGAUGUCGGAUUAGCUAGUUGGCGGGGUAAAGGCCCACCAAGGCGACGAUCCGUAGCUGGUCUGAGAGGAUGAUCAGCCACACUGGAGCUGAGACACGGUCCAGACUCCUACGGGAGGCAGCAGUGGGGAAUAUUGGACAAUGGGCGCAAGCCUGAUCCAGCCAUACCGCGUGGGUGAAGAAGGCCUUCGGGUUGUAAAGCCCUUUUGUUGGGAAAGAAAAGCAGCAGGUUAAUACCCCGCUGUUCUGACGGUACCCAAAGAAUAAGCACCGGCUAACUUCGUG